Molecule: long non-coding RNA, 426 nt
Organism: Mastomys coucha (southern multimammate mouse)
Lineage: Eukaryota; Metazoa; Chordata; Mammalia; Rodentia; Muridae
Exons: 3
Source: RefSeq, a predicted model, not a curated record
UUAUUUAACAUAGUGAUGAUAGACCAUGUCAUACUCUCCCUGUUGAUGGCUGAUAAUUGGUGCACCAGCCUCCUGAGGACACGUUGCUCUGUGAUAACUGUCUUCACCUUCUUUCUCUGCUUCUGUGUCUGCAUCUAUGAAGGUUCCUUUGAAGGUGACUGUGAAACCUUUCCUGCUUCCUCAAACGCACACUGUUCAGUCCAGCCUCGCAUCUCUUAUAGCAAUACAAAAAGAAGACUAUAAAGGUUUACUUUCCUUAUGUUCCUGUCACUCUCCAAGAUUCGCAUCCAAACACAGACAGGCAUAUCUCUGAUGGCUCAGUUACAGAAAACAGCAUGCACAGUGUUGUAGAGGCAACCACAGCUGCUGUGAUUUCAUGAGGAUAGUGAUCUUGUCAUGUAUAGAAGAUACACUGUCUAAUAGCCA